UCUAGAAGAAUUUAUUUUGGCCUUGGAUUAGCAUCAUUUCCUCCUUUUGUGGUUCUAGGUGACCAGGCUGUGGGAAGCGACCACACAUCAAUCUCAUAGCCCCAGGCAAGGCAGUGAGCCAUCUGAUUCCAGGAGAGCGGAGCAGGUGUGGGAAAGCCACCAGCCUCCCCUGAAGACAGCUAAGAUAUCCUGGUCUAGAUCUUGAGUGUCUGAUGGGAGCUUGGUGUAGCUCAGAAUGGAGGAUGGCUUUAAGCAUCUUCCCCAUCCUUGGCAUAAACUAAAGCAGCAUCUGCUAACAGGGAAAAUGUUCUAGGUCAGCCAGUAUUUACAUGACAGACUGAACGGCACUAAGGGGGCUUAUUCUGGUCUAUUUGGUGGAGUACCUCCCAGCUCAUCAAGGUGCACCAGAUGGAAUAGUGAGAAAGAAGAGAGCAAAGACAACAGGAGGAAGAGGAAAAACAGAUGAAAGGUAUCCUGUCAGCCCAGGAGCACCGCUUGUCAGUCACAGACCGGAAGGAUUGCCUCCAGGGAAGCCAGUUCAGGUGAUGGGGGAACCCCUUCACAAGAACAUUCAAAAUGUGAACAGAAUAUAAACUGAUGACUGAGUCUGCAGACAGCUUGAAACAACAGCGGUGAAAGAAAUAUGAACUCCUACU
RNAcentral lists this long non-coding RNA (656 nucleotides) under Chrysemys picta bellii (western painted turtle). Its description in RNAcentral is "lncRNA (ENSCPBG00000000346.1)". Lineage: Eukaryota; Metazoa; Chordata; Testudines; Emydidae. The record is from RNAcentral.